Molecule: ribosomal RNA, 402 nt
Filed under: uncultured bacterium
Lineage: Bacteria
Description: bacterial SSU rRNA
Rfam family: Bacterial small subunit ribosomal RNA
Source: RNAcentral
AGUGAACGCUGGCGGCGUGCUUAACACAUGCAAGUCGAGCGAAUUCUAACAGUGUAUCGUUAGAGUUAGCGGCAGACGGGUGAGUAAUUCUUGGGCAAUCUGCCCUCGAGAGGGAAACAACCUGCCGAAAGGUAGGCUAAUGUUCCAUAAGACCACGGGGUCGCAUGAUCCAGAGGUCAAAGCUCCGCAAGGGGCACUUGAGGAGGAGCCCGAGACCUAUCANGGUAGUUGGUGAGGUAACGGCUCACCAAGCCUUUGACGGGUAGCCGGCCUGAAAGGGUGAUCGGCCACACUGGCACUGAGACACGGGCCAGACUCCUACGGGAGGCAGCAGUGGGGAAUUUUGGACAAUGGGGGCAACCCUGAUCCAGCGACGCCGCGUGGAGGAUGAAGGUCUUCGGA